This 379-nucleotide unclassified non-coding RNA is filed under the name uncultured Pseudomonadota bacterium. Its description in RNAcentral is "uncultured proteobacterium contains 16S-23S intergenic spacer region". The record is from RNAcentral. Lineage: Bacteria; Pseudomonadati; Pseudomonadota.
UCCGGUUUGUCACCGGCAGUCUCGCAUGAGUCCCCAACUAAAUGCUGGCUACAUGCGACGGGGGUUGCGCUCGUUGCGGGACUUAACCCAACAUCUCACGACACGAGCUGACGACAGCCAUGCAGCACCUGUGUUCCGGUUCCCUUUCGGGCACAGCCACCUUUCGGCAGCCUUCCGGACAUGUCAAGGGUAGGUAAGGUUGUUCGCGUUGCAUCGAAUUAAUCCACAUCAUCCACCGCUUGUGCGGGUCCCCGUCAAUUCCUUUGAGUUUUAGCCUUGCGGCCGUACUUCCCAGGCGGAGUGCUUAACGCGUUAGCUACGGCACCGCAGGGGUCAAUACCCGCGACACCUAGCACUCAUCGUUUACGGCGUGGACUAC